This 605-nucleotide long non-coding RNA is filed under the name Nicotiana benthamiana. RNAcentral describes it as "long non-coding RNA (NBEN_LNC035818)". The record is from RNAcentral. Lineage: Eukaryota; Viridiplantae; Streptophyta; Magnoliopsida; Solanales; Solanaceae.
AAAUCCAUAGUUUGGAUUUGGCGUGAAUUUAACAGUACAAUAUGAUACAACCCGAAAAACCAUCCAAACAAGCUUUAAAUUUAUAAAGAGAACUCAAAGGCUCAAGCUUGAACUUUUUCAACCAGAUAGUUAAAUUGCUACCAUUCCAGUCUAGGGCGUAGAAGUGGAAGGAAACGAAGGGAAGAAAUGGAUCAAAGAAAUCAAUAGACGCUCUAAUUACAAAUGGGAUCUUGGUUACAUUCCUUUUUCACUCCAGCCGUGAAUUGGGUCUACGUUCAAAACGUCCAAAAAUACGGUUAGCAAUUCUAAUCUGUGUUCCCUUUUUUUGUUUUUAUCGAAUAUGCAUAGAGAUAUUUGUCUGUCUAUUAAAAUGUAUAUAUGAGCUUAAAGAUUGGAUCUUUUAAUUGACUGGCAGGUUUACUGUUUCUUGUUUGAUUAAUGGGUGUCUAAGGAUUUAGGGAGCUAUAUGGAAAGUAAAUUGAAAAAUUAGUUAUUUGGAUGAAAAGCAAUAUUUGAAUGCAAUUGUUUCCAGUGCUAAAAAGCAAAGCUGGCGGUUACGGAAGCUAAAAACGCGGCGUUUGGUCACAUGUACGAGGAAUUAGNNN